AACGCAUAUUGCGCCCUUUGGUAUUCCGAAGGGCAUGCCUGUUCGAGCGUCAUUAUCACCCCUCAAGCCUGGCUUGCUGUUGGACUUCGUCCCCGCUCACCCGGGGGCCGGUCCCAAAGAUAAUGACGGCGUCUGUGAGGACUCGAGUACACUGAGCUUUCGGGCACGUACUUGGUUAGGACUCCAGGCCCGGUCUCUUUAUAACUUUAUCAAGGUUGACCUCGGAUCAGGUAGGAAUACCCGCUGAACUUAA
Molecule: unclassified non-coding RNA, 253 nt
Filed under: uncultured fungus
Lineage: Eukaryota; Fungi
Description: partial contains 5.8S ribosomal RNA, internal transcribed spacer 2, and large subunit ribosomal RNA
Rfam family: 5.8S ribosomal RNA (bases 1-52)
Source: RNAcentral